This 8414-nucleotide long non-coding RNA is filed under the name Malus domestica (apple). Its description in RNAcentral is "long non-coding RNA (MDOM_LNC004366)". The record is from RNAcentral. Lineage: Eukaryota; Viridiplantae; Streptophyta; Magnoliopsida; Rosales; Rosaceae.
UGUGUGUGGUGAAUGGUGUAGAAAAAUAUGGUAGAGGGUGGUGUUUUGAUAUAUGGCAGAGAGGAUGUAUUUAUAGUGCAAAAACCCAUGGCACAAGGUAGCACAGGAAUGGGAUUGUGUAACCAAAACCCAAGUGGAAUGGAUUAAAUCAAUCAGAAACCAAAGCUAACAAGGAUAAGGGAUACACGGCUUCUAGAAAGAACACUAAAGGAAUUAGGCGCCAGGUUUUAAGGACAAGGAGUAGGGCAUUCUAGAAAACUUAAGAAAAAGGUCUUCUAGAAAUAAUAGGUGCGGCACUAAAGUAGGAUAGGGAUAAGGCUUCUAGAAACCAAUUUUGAUGCGUUUUAAUUGUAUAAUUAUCCCUUAGAAAUAGCUGGAAUUAAGGCACAAACUGAUUUAGAUAAGAUAAGAUAGGAUAAGACCAAAUUAGGGGAGGAUAAGAUAAGAUAAGGUUAGUUUGGAUAAGAUAAGUUUGGAUAAGGUUUUGGAUAAUAUCUCAUUCUUUUGAGCUGAUUCCUUAUCUUCUUUGUCUUGGAUUUAUUUUCUUCAUCUUUUGAGCACAUUCCUAGCCUCUUGAACUUCAAAUUUGUCUAUCCAUCUUGCUCCAUUCAUAAGCUAUCCAAUUGGUGCCCAAAACUGCUUCAAAAUGCUCCAAAUUGCACUUUCUUGCCAACUUUGUCAUAUGGACCUACAAACACACAAAAAUAGCUUAAAACACUAUAAUAAGUAGAAACUAGCUAUGAAAAUGCAAGAAAACAAGCUAACUAGGUCGCAUAAAUAUGCUCCUAUCAUAAUUCAACUUCUCCGAAAGUUCAAAGCUGUGACGCUAGAACAUGUGCCAAGAAAAGAAAUCAAAUGGCAGACACUCUCGCUAACUUAGCCUCAAGUAUGGUGCUAGGAGAAAACGAAGUUGCAGAUGUGCCAGUUUGCCAAAUAUGGGUGAUCUCGCCAGUCACUGAAAUGCUACUAGAUGAUACAAACAUCGUUUCAGUAAUUCCAGUCGACAUUGAAAAGUGGAGACAGCCGUUGAUCGACUACUUGGAGCAUGCAAAGCUUUCGAAUGAUCCUAGACACCUCUCUAAAAUACAUCGAUGAGCACCUCGCUUCCUCUACUACAAAAGAACACUCUACCAAUGCUCUUUUGAAUGAGUACUUCGAAGAUGCUUAGGUUAGGAAGAAGUUCAUCAAGCCAUGGAAGAAGCACACUCAGGCUUGAUAUGGUAGAAACUAACACAAACAUUAAACCCUAUAAAUUAUGCAAUCGUAGUACGAGUAAGUAGGGAUCAUUCUAUUCCGGGGAUUAGAAAGGAUGCUAAUCAACACAAAUUAAACUUAUAAAAUUGAAAACUAAACUAAACUAACAUUAAAACAAUGAGAGGGGAGAUUUUGGACGAAUUUAAUGAAAACAAAAGUAAAGGGUAGCAAGUAAAUUAAGUUGUGAAUGAAAUAUGGAUGAAAGGAUAGCUAAAGGAUUCUUCUCCACACAUGAAACACAUGCAUACAAAUUGAUUUCCAGCUAUUCUUCCUAUAAACCAUGAAUGACAAUGCCCUAAAUUAACUAUGAACAACACUAAUUAACUCUCAAAUUUGCCUAAGUUCAUUGAAUUAGACUCAGCGACGCAACCAAAUUAUUCUUCUCAAGUUUCGUAACUAUGAAAAGCAUGAUAGAGAUACAUCUCAAAGAUCAUUAAGUUAUGUGAAAAUCAUAAGCAUUGACAAAGCAUUCGUAACUAAGAAAAGCAUGAUACUCCUGCCAAUAAUUUACUUAACUCAAUCAUGACUAGUGACUUUUACUACUUGCAAAUAUAAGUUCAUAACGAUUAGGUGAAAUUCCCUUAUAUUCUAGCAUAAAAUCCCUGCAUGCAAACUAAGUGUGCACCCUUAAUAAACAUACAAGAAUAAGUUUUCUAUAAAGCAGAUUAGUAAAUCGAAUUCAUGUUUUAUGAAACAAUAACUGGAUGUAAUCAAUUUAUAUAAAACAUAUGAUCAUGGCUUCGAAUUCACCUCUAGCUAAAAAGAAACUUAGUUACACAUAGUCAUCAUAACUGAAAAACAAUCUAAAAUAAACAUUGAAACUUAAAACAAAGAUAGAAAGAACUCUAAAAAUUCCAACAACUUAAAUGGAUGAAGGGUAGGCAUGGCACCCUAAAUCUCUACAGGAAUUUCAUAUAUAUAGGGGGAAUGGCUGAAUCCAAGGAGGAAAGGGUUUUGGCGUUUUUGAGUUAUUUUAGGACUCUAAAAAUCAGGUAGAAAGUGUUGGAAUGUGAUUAGGAUUCCUUCUUGCAGCUGAAGAUAAGAUAAGAUAAGAUAAGAUAAGAUAAGAUAAUGUUGGAUAAGAUAGGAUAAGAUAAGAUAAGAUAUGAUAAGAUAAGAUAAGAUAAGAUAAGAUAGGAUAGGAUAAGAUAAUGUUCCUCUCCAAUUAGGAUUCCUCUUUCUUAUGUAAUUCCUUGCCUUCCAAGCCUCAACUUUAAUUUCUCCAGAUUUUAGCACAUGUCUAACACCUUUUAAACACCAAAAACGUCCAGCUCAUAUGCUAUCCACCCUUGCUAUCCAAUCCAAGUCCAAAACUGCUCCAAAUUGCUCUAUUUUGCUAUUUAUUGUCAUCUUUACCAACUGGACCUACAAUAAUACGAAAAUAACUUAACUUACCAAAAUAAAUGGAAAUUAACUAAGUAAAUGUAAAGAAAUAAGAUAACAAAGUCGCAUAAAUAUGCUCCUAUCAAAUUCCCCCACACUUAGCUUUUGCUAGUCCCCAAGCAAAAAAAAAGAAAACAAAACAAAACCUAAACCUUCCAACAAUUGCCUCAGAGAUUUCCAAUGAAACAUGACAUGUUAAAAAUCACUACUCACAUAGAUUUUAGCCAUCCUUACUCUUGAGCUUCUACUUAACCGCAGUAACCACUCACUAGCUCGCAUUCACUCAAUUCCUCACCCGAUAUAUUCUCUAUUUUCACAUAGAUUUUUUGGCUACGCUCCCUAUACUAAGUAUAUGUGAGAAGAUUGAUGUAAACAUGUGGACUAGCACUCACAUAUGUUAUAACAAAGAAGGCACUUUCUGAAUUUUAUUAAUACAAACAUGUAUAUGAUCUCAUGAACAGAAUGCCACUACUUAGAAGCGAGAACCAGGGAUUCCAUAUGCUAAGUAUACGUGAGAAGAUUGAUGUAAACAUGUAGACUAGCAAUCACAUAUGUUAUAACAAAGAAGGCACUUUCUGAAUUUUAUUAAUACAAACAUGUAUAUGAUCUCAUGAACAGAAUGCCACUACUUAGAAGCGAGAACCAGGGAUUCCAUAUGCCCGUACCAAUUUCAAACUCCACAUAUUGAAUCACAUAACAAUCAAGAUAAAAGUCUAAGGGUUAUAAUGGGGCUAAGGUUUUGGUUAACAAAGAAAGGUUAAGGAUAAACAAAGGUUCUUAAAGUAAUAGUAAGCAAAGUAAUGAAAUCAACACUUAGAAUUCAACUUUUGAUUGCAGCACCCAACUAUAAACACAAAAGGGAGAUUCGUACAACUUUAAGGUCAGAUUCACAUUUUUGGACCCUUCUUCAACAACCAACACUUAUGAACUCAUUCUCACUUCUUUUUAACCUCUUUUUUUUAUUCUUUUUCUUUUCUCCUUUUUUCAACGUUUUUCUUCUUCUUUUUUUCUUUUUCUUUUUCUUUUUUUAUUUGGAAACAUAAAAGAUAAGCACUACUUCACCGGAUUAAAAAGAACAAAUUCUUCCCCCACACUUGUUUUUCUGCUAAUCAUUGAUCAAAAGGAAUUCCCAACAAGUCAUGCUCCACUAUUCUUUAAGAACUAGGGUAUGGAUAUUCCUAUACCAGGCUAGGUAGGGAUAAUGCAGGCUAACAAAGAAAAUAGGCUAAAUAAGGCUCAAAGGGGUUAAACCUACAAUACAUGUGCAAGGGAUAAGGCUUUUUGGCUAUGGUGGUAACUAAACAACUUCAUCUUGUUAUUUGUUAUGCAAUCAAUUUUAUGCCUUGAAUGAAACAAGCAUGAGUGCUAGUAUUUGGAACUAAAAUGAUGAAAAAGCAUUCUAAGUAGAAUCAAGCAAAGAAAUAAUGAGAUCAUGCAACAACUUUAGAAAACAAGAAUAUCAUAGAUUAUUAACUCUCCAAACAAGGAAUAGGCUCAAGUCUUACAGGGUUGUAGUGUUAGUUUGAGUUUCUUCCUUCAAGCAUGUUACAAAAACUGAUUUUUUUUUCUUUGUGAUUACAUGUGAAUUCGUAAAUGGCAACAACAACUAAGUAUUAACCAAAGAGCAUAUCAAACUUCCACCCAUGUUUGUAACCUUCUUUAACAGUCAUGCAAUUAAAAACCAAAUCCUCAUCAUUGUGUUGGAAGGUACCCUAAGAUACAAACAAGCAACAAAAACGACUCUUUUUGGUUAUUUCUCAAGCUUUUUUUAUUUUAUUUUUUUUCAAAUUUUGUAUAUGACACACAAUAAAACACUUUAAAAUAGUGAAUAACAACAUUAGUAGUGAUAGGUGGUGAAAUUCGAAGAUAAGUCAUGAAAAGCAUUCUGUUUACCCCACCCCACCCACACUUAAACCAAACAUUGUCCUCAAUGUUUCAAAAAUAAACUUAAACAAGAAAGCAAUAAAAGACAACUAGCAAGCAAGACAAUCAUGGCAAAGUAAAAACAAUAAAGAGAAGGGUAAAAGAAAGCAAAUCUGGUUGUAUGAGCUGGAAAUUCCAAUGUCUCUUUGUUUGAAUACAUGGGUUGCCUCCCAAGAAGCGCUUGCUUUAACGUCUUCCAGUUGAAUGAUACCUCCAUUUAAUCCUCACUAGGACCAGCGGAAUGGAGAUGAUCUUUGAAUGGAAGGUGAUACUUGAAAUGAUCCGGUAAUGGUUUAAAUUCUACAGUGGGUGCCUGAAUAAUUGAUAUCAACAACAUGUUAGUAGAAAACGAAAUUAAAAUUUGAGGGGGUGGCUUACCUAUGUGUUGCAAUAAGAACUCAUGGACAAACACUACUUCGAAAGUUUCAGGAAUGUUGCACUUGGCCAGAUUUGGUGCGAGGGCAGUGACUUGUCUCGUGUGAUCUACUCCAAUUCCCUUUUCAAUGGUGGUUCUAAAUACAUCAUUCUUGAUAGGUGCUGAACGUUCAUGCCCUAUAUUUUCAAUCAUAUUAAUGGAAAAACAAGAAUGAACAUCAUUAGGAUACUUAACAGAUUCAGAAACAUUAAAAUUAAUCAUAUUGUCAUCAAACUCCAUAGUUAACACUUCCUUGGACACAUCAAUCUUGGUUUGGGCUGUUUUCAUGAAAGGUCUUCCAAGUAAGAUUGGCAAUGAUGUAGAGUGGGCUGAAUCUUCUAUCUUAAGCACAUAAAAAUCUGCUGGAAAAAUCAAAUGGUCUACCUACACCAAAACAUCUUCCAAAACUCCUUUCGAUAUGCAUUAGAUUAGAUCAGCCAAUUGAAUAAUGACACCAUCAUUUUUAAGCUCUCCUAGAUUCAUAGAUGCAUAAACAGAAUGUGGCAUGACAUUAAUGGAAGCACCUGAAUCUAGCAUAGCAUGUUCAAACCUUGUAUUACCAAUAACACAAGAGAUAGUGAAACUACUUGGAUCUUUGCAUUUAGGUGACAGCUUUCUUUGGAAAACUGCAGAGACAUUUUCACUUACAUGUACCACCUCCUUCUUCAGAAUCCGUUUCUUUGUUGAACAACGCUUCUUAAAAAACUUAGCAUACUUCAGAACUUGCUUUAUUGCAUCAAGAAGUAGGAUAUUAACUUGUACUUUUCUGAAGGCUUCCAAGAUGUCUUUUUCACUCUCUUCUUUCUUGGAUUGCAUAAGCCUGCGAGGAAAAGGUACAUUUGGUGGAAUAAGAUUAGAAAGAAUUGAAUUUGAAACAACCUUACUAGAAUUGGGUGUUGUGGCAAGGCUUCUUCUAAGCUUGUCGUGGCUGAGUCUUCUUCUUCCUCUUUGGACAAUAGCUCUUUGUCUACUUCUAGGCUAUGUUUAGACAUCUCUGGUUCAGCUCCAACCUCCUUACCACUUCCCAAAGUGCUAUCUUCAGCGAUUUCAAAAUCUCCCUUUGAAUUGACAAUAGUUAAGCUGGAAAGUUCGCUUUGCUCGAAUUUGUCCCAUGCAUUCUGCAAUCUGUCCAAGUUGAUUUUUCAAUUCGACCAUCUCUUUAGCUUGGUUUUCUAGAUCCUAAGUCAAAGAAGCACAAGAAGUAUUUAGUACUUGAAGAAUUUGAACAUGAUCCAUGGACAUGCUUGAAUUUGGUUGGAAUUGUUGUGGGGGAAUUUGUUGUGGCUAGAUAGGUUUUGAAUAAAACUCUUGAGAUAUAUGCCAAUAUCCUUCUUGUUGAACUUGUUAAGGUUCCCUCCACAUAAAAUUUGAAUGAUCUCUCGUACCUGGAUUAUAAGUGUUGGAAAACAAGUCGUUCCUUGAUUGAUUAUGGCCUUGAUAACCCCAAGCAUUGACACUUUCCCAACCUCCAUUCUCAAUUAAUUGAGGUUGUUGAUUAGUUUGAUAUCCUUGCCUAUAGGACCCACCAAAUGUAGGGACACUUUGCAUUGUGGACCUUUCGAUAUAUUGAGACAUAAGAGAAGUAAGAUUCACCAUUUGAGCUUCAAGAUUAGCAAUUGCCAUGUCUUGCUUCUCUAGUACCUGAAAUCAAAUAAAUAAAAUUAAAUCAAAUAUCAACAGUAAAAUAAACAAAAAAAUAAAAAUAAAAACAGAGUGAUUAGCAAUUUUUCUAAUCCCCGACAACAGUGCCAAAAUUUGAUAUGGUCGAAACUAACACACAAAUUAAACCCUAUAAAUUAUGCAAUUGUAGUAUAAGUAAGUAGGGAUCAUUCUAUUUCGGGGAUUAGAAGGGAUGCUAAUCAACACAAAUUAAACUUAUAAAACUGAAAACUAAACUAAACUAACAUUAAAACAAUGAGGGGGGGGGAGAUUUUGAACGAAUUUAAUGAAAACAAAAGUAAAGGGUAGCAAGUAAAUUAAGUUGUGAAUGAAAUAUGGAUGAAAGGAUAGCUAAAGGAUUCUUCUCCACACAUGAAACACAUGCAUACAAAUCGAUUUCCAGUUAUUCUCCUAUAAACCAUGAAUGACAAUGCCCCAAAUUAACUAUGAACAACACUAAUUAACUCUCAAAUUUUCCUCACUUCAUUGAAUUAGACUCAGCGACGCAACCAAAUUAUUCUUCUCAAGUUUCCUAACUAAGAAAAGCAUGAUAGAGAUACAUCUCAAAGAUCAUUAAGUUCUGUGAAAAUCAUAAGUAUUAACAAAGCAUUCGUAACUAUGAAAAACAUGAUACUCCUGCCAAGAAUUCACUUAACUCAAUCAUGACUAGUGACUUUUACUACUUGCAAAUAUAAGUUCAUAAUGAUUAGGUGAAAUUCCCUUAUAUUCUAGCAUAAAAUCCCUGCAUGCAAACUAAGUGUGCACCCUUAAUAAACAUACAAGAAUAAGUUUUCUAUAAAGCAGAUAAGUAAAUCGAAUUCAUGUUUUAUGAAACAAUACCUGGAUGUAAUCAAUUUAUAUAAAACAUAUGAUCAUGGCUUCGAAUUCACCUCUAGCUAAAAAGAAACUUAGUUACACAUAUUCAUCAUAAUUGAAAAACAAUCUAAAAUAAACAUUGAAACUUAAAACAAAGAUAAAAAGAACUCUGAAAAUUCCAACAACUUAAAUGGAUGAAGGGUAGGCAUGGCACCCUAAAUCUCUACAGGAAUUUCAUAUAUAUAGGGGGAAUGGCUGAAUCCAAGGAGGAAAGGGUUUUGGCAUUUUUGAGUUAUUUUAGGACUCUAAAAAUCAGGUAGAAAGUGUUGGAAUGUGAUUAGGAUUCCUCCUUGCAGUUGGAGAUAAGAUAAGAGAAUGUUGGAUAAGAUAGGACAAGAUAAGAUAAGAUAAGAUAAGAUAGGAUAGGAUAAGAUAACGUUCCUCUCCAAUUAGGAUUCCUCUUUCUUUUGUAAUUCCUUGCCUUCCAAGCCUCAACUUUAAUUUCUCCAGAUUUUAGCACAUGUCUAACACCUUUUAAACACCAAAAACGUCCAGUCCAUAUGCUAUCCACCUUUGCUAUCCAAUCCAAGUCAAAACUGCUCCAAAUUGUUCCAUUUUGCUAUUUAUUGUCAUCUUUACCAACUGGACCUACAAUAAUACGAAAAUAACUUAAAUUACCAAAAUAAAUGGAAAUUAACUAAGUAAAUGCAAAGAAAUAAGAUAACAAAGUCGCAUAAAUAUGCUCCUAUCAGCUUAUGCGGAGCACAUCAAUCUGGACCAAAGCUGCAGUUCCAGCUCAAAAGGAUUGGCUACUACUGGCCAAUCAUGGUGAAGGAUUGCCUGGAACACGCCAAAAGGUGCCAAGCUUGCCAAUUCCACACCAACUUCAUACAUCAACCACCUGAGCCAUUACACCCUAUGAUUGCUUCAUGGCCAUUCGAUGCGUGAGGAUUAGAUGUCGUAG